UACGGGGGGAGCAAGCGUUGUUCGGAUUUACUGGGCGUAAAGGGCGCGUAGGCGGCGUGACAAGUCACUUGUGAAAUCUCCGGGCUUAACUCGGAACGGUCAAGUGAUACUGUCGGACUAGAGUACAGAAGGGGCAACUGGAAUUCUCGGUGUAGCGGUGAAAUGCGUAGAUAUCAGGAGGAACACCGAUGGCGAAGGCAGGUCUCUGGGCCGAUACUGACGCUGAGGAGCGAAAGCGUGGGGAGCGAACAGG
RNAcentral lists this ribosomal RNA (253 nucleotides) under uncultured bacterium. RNAcentral describes it as "partial 16S ribosomal RNA". It matches the Rfam family "Bacterial small subunit ribosomal RNA", at positions 524 to 776 of the family's 1533-position model. The record is from RNAcentral.